UUUCCGUAGGUGAACCAGCGGAGGGAUCAUUACCGAGUUUACAACUCCCAAACCCAAUGUGAACUAUACCUGUCUACCGUUGCUUCGGCGGGCUCGCCCGCCGAGGGACCGACAAAUAAACUCUUGUAUUUCUAUCUUUAGCAUGUCUGAGUGGAAUCAUAAACAAAUGAAUCAAAACUUUCAACAACGGAUCUCUUGGUUCUG
RNAcentral lists this unclassified non-coding RNA (204 nucleotides) under plant metagenome. RNAcentral describes it as "partial contains small subunit ribosomal RNA, internal transcribed spacer 1, and 5.8S ribosomal RNA". The record is from RNAcentral.